RNAcentral lists this ribosomal RNA (253 nucleotides) under uncultured bacterium. RNAcentral's name for it is "partial 16S ribosomal RNA". It matches the Rfam family "Bacterial small subunit ribosomal RNA", at positions 524 to 776 of the family's 1533-position model. The record is from RNAcentral.
UACGUAGGGUGCAAGCGUUGUCCGGAAUUAUUGGGCGUAAAGAGCUCGUAGGCGGCUUGUCGCGUCGGCUGUGAAAACCUGGGGCUCAACCCUGGGCCUGCAGCCGAUACGGGCAAGCUAGAAUUCGGUAGGGGAGACUGGAAUUCCUGGUGUAGCGGUGAAAUGCGCAGAUAUCAGGAGGAACACCGGUGGCGAAGGCGGGUCUCUGGGCCGAUAUUGACGCUGAGGAGCGAAAGCGUGGGGAGCAAACAGG